Molecule: long non-coding RNA, 424 nt
Filed under: Sorghum bicolor (sorghum)
Lineage: Eukaryota; Viridiplantae; Streptophyta; Magnoliopsida; Poales; Poaceae
Description: long non-coding RNA (SBIC_LNC005870)
Source: RNAcentral
ACUACUCUUAUGAUCACUUGACAUUGUUCUGUUCUGCUGCAUGUGCCUGCACCCUGCAGUUCGUCUGAAUCUGAAUAAGUAGAAGUUAGUAGUAGUAUGUGAUUCAGGUAUUGAAACCAAUUGCCAAUUUGCCAUGCAUCAUCAGGAAACUAUUUAAAUCACUCAUCUCUCUCACUCUGUGUGUCGUGUGAUUUGUUGCGUUGCAGUCGGACAAGCUCGACUACGAGAGGAUAUGAUAGUCGGCGCCCGGCGGCCUCUCGCAGUCGCAGGAGACCGUAGCAUGCACGCGCCACCGCCAAGCCAUGCAUGUUUCCUGUCCUUUCCUUGGGGUCAGGACACGGUGUUGUACACAGAUGACAAUGCCAACACACAGUGAUCAGGCAAUUCUGCCACCUCGGCUGAAAUAAGGAAGACAUCGAAAGCC